RNAcentral lists this ribosomal RNA (460 nucleotides) under uncultured bacterium. RNAcentral describes it as "partial 16S ribosomal RNA". It matches the Rfam family "Bacterial small subunit ribosomal RNA", at positions 338 to 795 of the family's 1533-position model. The record is from RNAcentral.
CCUACGGGGGGCUGCAGUGAGGAAUAUUGGUCAAUGGGCUUACGCCUGAACCAGCCAAGUCGCGUGAGGGAAGACUGCCCUAUGGGUUGUAAACCUCUUUUGUCAGGGAGCAACGCCGGCUACGUGUAGCCGGACUGAGAGUACAUGAAGAAAAAGCAUCGGGAAACUCCGUGCCAGCAGCCGCGGUAAUACGGGGGAUGCGAUCGUUAUCGGGAUUGAUGGGGUUUAAAGGGUGCGUAGGCGGAAUGCCAAGUCAGCGGUAAAAUCGCGGGGCUCAACCUCGCUCCGCAGUUGAAACUGGCGUUGUUGAGUGGGCGAGAAGUAUGCGGAAUGCGUGGGGUAGCGGUGAAAUGCAUAGAUAUCACGCAGAACUCCGAUUGCGAAGGCAGCAUACCGGCGCCCAACUGACGCUGAAGCACGAAAGCGUGGGUAUCGAACAGGAUUAGAUACCCGGGUAGUC